This 117-nucleotide ribosomal RNA is filed under the name Sinocyclocheilus anshuiensis. Lineage: Eukaryota; Metazoa; Chordata; Actinopteri; Cypriniformes; Cyprinidae. The record is from RNAcentral.
UGCCACAGCCAUAUCACCCUGCAGCCCAAGACUGGUUGCCCACUGAAACUAAGCAGGGUUGAGCCUGGUUAGUACCUGGAUGGGAGACCUCUGCUGAAAACUAGGUUGCUGUUGGAA